UUAUAUAAAAGGAGCCUCAAAGCUCCACUAGGAGAUCGGGGUGCGGAACAUUAGUUAGUUGGUGAGGUAAUGGCUCACCAAGACUAUGAUGUUUAACGGGGUUGAGAGACUGAUCCGUCACACUGGGACUGAGAUACGGCCCAGACUCCUACGGGAGGCAGCAGUAGGGAAUUUUCCACAAUGGGCGAAAGCCUGAUGGAGCGACACAGCGUGCAGGAUGAAGGCCUUCGGGUUGUAAACUGCUGUUAUUUAGGAUGAAAAAAUAGUAGAGGAAAUGCUAUUAUCUUGACAGUACUAAAUCAGAAAGCAACGGCUAACUAUGUGCCAGCAGCCGCGGUAAUACAUAGGUUGCAAGCGUUAUCCGGAAUUAUUGGGCGUAAAGCGUCUGUAGGUUGUUUGUUAAGUCUGGCGUCAAAACUUGGGGCUCAACCCCAAAUCGCGUUGGAUACUGACAAACUAGAAUUGUGUAGAGGUUAACGGAAUUCCUUGUGAAGCGGUGAAAUGCGUAGAUAUAAGGAAGAACAUCAACUUGGCGAAGGCAGUUAACUGGGCACAUAUUGACACUGAGAGACGAAAGCGUGGGGAGCAAACAGGAUUAGAUACCCUGGUAGUCCACGCCGUAAACGAUGAUGAUUAGCUGAUGGAAACCAUCGGCGCAGCUAACGCAUUAAAUCAUCCGCCUGAGUAGUAUGCUCGCA
Molecule: ribosomal RNA, 698 nt
Filed under: uncultured Mycoplasma sp.
Lineage: Bacteria; Bacillati; Mycoplasmatota; Mollicutes; Mycoplasmatales; Mycoplasmataceae
Description: bacterial SSU rRNA
Rfam family: Bacterial small subunit ribosomal RNA
Source: RNAcentral